Molecule: long non-coding RNA, 439 nt
Filed under: Hordeum vulgare
Lineage: Eukaryota; Viridiplantae; Streptophyta; Magnoliopsida; Poales; Poaceae
Description: long non-coding RNA (HVUL_LNC013666)
Source: RNAcentral
UGAAGUGAUGGUGUCUUAGUCUUAGCCCAUGAAUAUAUAAGCACAGAGAUACGGGACUUACUAGCAGCUGAGAGGGGACAAGGUGUGUGGGCUGGUGGCUGUAAAGGGAGGCAGCCAGAUUCAGAUCAGAUUUUGCUGGGCCAUGGCUUGCUGUGUAGAGGCAAAGGUAGCGGACUAGUGGGCUGAGCAAUCAGAUGCAUACUACAGUCCUAGAUGCUGAAGUGGGCAGGGGCAUUAUAUGCAACCAUCUAUGGUCCAGCUUUUAUGGAUGUGUUCCAUUCGCUACGGUGUCCUGUCUCAUGAAAUUGGGAGGUAAGCUAGUUAGUCUCAUUCAAAAGCAAUCAUUUCUGAAUGCUUUGAUGAUCCUGUCUUUGUAGUUUGUACCCUUGCAGCAACCCGGUGGUUUCAAUCAGGUGAGGUGAAGAGCCAGUGUCACAGG